Non-coding RNA from Potamilus streckersoni, 77 nucleotides. NCBI's taxonomy places the organism in Eukaryota, Metazoa, Mollusca, Bivalvia, Unionida, Unionidae. The record is from the annotation of a GenBank genome assembly.
GACCGCUCUUUUGGCCUAGUGAUUAGAGCGUCCGCCUCGGAUGCGGGAGGUCACGAGUUCGGAUCCCGACUGAGUCA